GACGAACGCUGGCGGCGUGCUUAACACAUGCAAGUCGAACGGAAAGGCCCCUUUGGGGGUCCUCGAGUGGCGAACGGGUGAGUAACACGUGAGUAACCUGCCCUUGACUUCGGGAUAACUUCAGGAAACUGGGGCUAAUACCGGAUAGGAAUCCUUGCUGCAUGGUGGGGGUUGGAAAGCUUCGGCGGUUUUGGAUGGACUCGCGGCUUAUCAGCUUGUUGGUGGGGUAGUGGCUUACCAAGGCUUUGACGGGUAGCCGGCCUGAGAGGGCGACCGGCCACAUUGGGACUGAGAUACGGCCCAGACUCCUACGGGAGGCAGCAGUGGGGAAUAUUGCACAAUGGGCGGAAGCCUGAUGCAGCAACGCCGCGUGCGGGAUGACGGCCUUUGGGUUGUAAACCGCUUUCAGCAGGGGCGAAGCUUGUGGUGACGGUACCUGCAGAAGAAGCACCGGCUAACUACGUG
Molecule: ribosomal RNA, 465 nt
Filed under: uncultured bacterium
Lineage: Bacteria
Description: partial 16S ribosomal RNA
Rfam family: Bacterial small subunit ribosomal RNA
Source: RNAcentral